RNAcentral lists this long non-coding RNA (1054 nucleotides) under Heterocephalus glaber (naked mole-rat). RNAcentral describes it as "lncRNA (ENSHGLG00000035341.1)". The record is from RNAcentral. Lineage: Eukaryota; Metazoa; Chordata; Mammalia; Rodentia; Bathyergidae.
GUGGGGAGGCAUCUCCACUUCAGGGAGACAUGGCACGUGCACGAAGGGACUGGAACACAAUGAGUGGGGGCCGCUGGCUAAAAUAGCAUGUUAUAAAUUUGCAGAUUUGCCGGGCGUGGUGGUGCAUGCUUGUGAUCCCAGCACUGGGAAGGCUGUGGCAGGAGGAUCGCUGUGAGUUCGAGGCCAGCCUAGGCUACAUCGUGAGUUCAGGGCCAGCCUGAACUACAAAGGGAGACCCUGCCUCAAAAAAACCCCCACAAAUUUGCAGAUUUGAUUUUUUUAAAUAAUAUUUCGGUUUUUGCAUAGAUCUCCUUUCUAAACUGAGUAAAUGCAUCAUGCAUUUCUUUUUUCUUUUCCCUUUACAGCACUGUACUUAUUUGGGCAGUUAUAAAGCAUCUAUAUAUAUUUUAAUCAAAAACGAAGUAUUUUGGAAGGUGAAUUCUUAGAGCUUCCGUGUGGCUAAGCUGGGUAACAGAGAUAAGCUUCGGACUCUGCUGAGCUCACUGUUUUAUCUGGAUGAAAAGCCGCGGCCUGCACUUGUCCACUCCAGAGCUGGGCUGAGUCCUCCAGCAGCCCCGGCCGGCCUAGACCUCUCCCGUUUUCCUGCCGCCGCGCCUUUCUUUCCCCUCGGUUCCGAGUCGGGGCGGGCGCGGGGCCUGUGCAGGGGUCCCGGAAGGGAAGAAGGCAGUGCGGGUUCACGUAACGGUCCCGAGAGGGCUAAAGGAAGGGCCGGCGCCGCCGCCGAAGCUCACAGACCGGAAGAAGGGCGCUUAACGUCCCAAGCGCUCCGGUCGGCUUUGGGGCCCCUCGCUGCUGGGGGACCCGGCCCCACACCCCGCCGGCGGCUCUCCGGGACGCUGUUCUGGGGUCGCCUCCCCCCGGCAGCUCCUAGGGAGGCUCGGCGCCUUCCCAGUCCCGCGUGGGCUCCGGGCCGGGCACCAGGGCGCAGGGCUUCCCCUCCGAGGCCCGCAGGUCAGGGUCUACCGCACCGCCCGGCCCAGGAAAGGGAGCCGGGGCGGUGGCCGAGUGCGUCUCCCCGCCCCGUGACGCAGGC